RNAcentral lists this ribosomal RNA (253 nucleotides) under uncultured bacterium. Its description in RNAcentral is "partial 16S ribosomal RNA". It matches the Rfam family "Bacterial small subunit ribosomal RNA", at positions 524 to 776 of the family's 1533-position model. The record is from RNAcentral.
UACGUAGGGUGCAAGCGUUGUCCGGAAUUAUUGGGCGUAAAGAGCUCGUAGGCGGUUUGUCGCGUCUGCUGUGAAAACUCGGGGCUUAACCCCGGGCCUGCAGUGGGUACGGGCAGACUGGAGUGCGGUAGGGGAGACUGGAAUUCCUGGUGUAGCGGUGAAAUGCGCAGAUAUCAGGAGGAACACCGGUGGCGAAGGCGGGUCUCUGGGCAGUAACUGACGCUGAGGAGCGAAAGCGUGGGGAGCGAACAGG